RNAcentral lists this long non-coding RNA (383 nucleotides) under Phoenix dactylifera (date palm). Its description in RNAcentral is "long non-coding RNA (PDAC_LNC016290)". The record is from RNAcentral. Lineage: Eukaryota; Viridiplantae; Streptophyta; Magnoliopsida; Arecales; Arecaceae.
AGAGAGUGAGAGAGCCCUUUGUCCUAACUAAUUUAUUCUUAUUUUGGCAUGGCUUGCUAGCAUUCUGAUUCAAAACACCAAAAUUCUUAGUAGUCUUAAAUUUUAAACUCUGAUAUCAUACCUGCCACAAUCAUGCCCCGAGAAUGAUUUUGUAUUAGCCUUAACUUCUUUCUUUUUGUUGCUCAUUGUCGUUUAUCAAAAUAUUUAUGUCAAGCAAUUUUCGUGACUGACCGAUGAUGCAACCAAUAAAAUCUUUUCUUUCUUUCCAAUUAUACGGAAUUUCACUAAAUGAGAUUUAACUACCCCUGCCCUUAUUAAAAUUUGAAAAUUUUUUACUCAUGAUUAACCUAUUGCUCUGAUACCACAAGAAUGUCACGCCCCGG